GGUUGCGAUCAUACCAACACUAAUGCACCGGAUUCCAUCAGAUUCCGUAGUUAAGCGUGCUUGGGCGAGAGUAGUACUAGGAUGGGUGACCCCUGGGAAGUCCUCGUGUUGCAACUA
RNAcentral lists this ribosomal RNA (117 nucleotides) under Helianthus annuus (common sunflower). The record is from RNAcentral. Lineage: Eukaryota; Viridiplantae; Streptophyta; Magnoliopsida; Asterales; Asteraceae.